This 73-nucleotide transfer RNA is filed under the name Myotis lucifugus (little brown bat). It matches the Rfam family "tRNA". From Rfam's summary of the family: Transfer RNA (tRNA) molecules are approximately 80 nucleotides in length. Their secondary structure includes four short double-helical elements and three loops (D, anti-codon, and T loops). The record is from Rfam by way of RNAcentral. Lineage: Eukaryota; Metazoa; Chordata; Mammalia; Chiroptera; Vespertilionidae.
GCCGGUUUGGCUCAGUGGAUAGAGCGUUGGCCUGCGGACCCAAGGGUGCCGGGUUUGAGUCUGGUCAUGGGCA